RNAcentral lists this long non-coding RNA (1796 nucleotides) under Ananas comosus (pineapple). RNAcentral's name for it is "long non-coding RNA (ACOM_LNC002742)". The record is from RNAcentral. Lineage: Eukaryota; Viridiplantae; Streptophyta; Magnoliopsida; Poales; Bromeliaceae.
GAAUAAUAAAAGAAAAGUCCUUAGCGAGGAAUGACAGGGUUUAGGGUUUAGGGCUUUGUUUAGGGUUCAGGGUUCAGGGUUGUUUAGGGUUUAGGGUUUAGGGUUUAGGGUUUAGGGGUUUAGGGUGUAGGGUUUAGGGUUUUAGGGUUUAGGGUUUAGGGUUUAGGGUUUUAGGGUUUAGGUCUAGGGAUUAGGGUUAGGUCUAGGGUCUAGGGUUAGGGGUUAGGGUAGGUUAGGGUUAGGGGUAGGGGUUAGGGUUCAGGGUUAGGGUUCAGGGUCAGGGUUCAGGGUUCAGGGGUUUAGGGUUUAGGGGUUUUAGGGUUUUAGGGGUUUAGGAUGUUUGGGUUUAGGGUUUUAGGUUAGAGGUUUAGGUUUUAGGGUUUAGGGUUUGGGUUUAGGGUUAAGGGUUUAGGGUUAGCGGUUUAAAGGGGUUUAGGGUUAAGGGUUAAGGGUUAGGGUUAAGGGUUUAGGGUUUUAGGGGUUGUUAGGGUUUUAGGGUUAUAGGAGUUAUAGGGUUAUAGGGUAUAGGGUUAGGUUUAGGGUUAGGGUUUAGGGUUUAGGUUUUAGGGUUUAGGAGUUUAGGGUUUAGGGUUGUAGGUUAGGGUUAGGGUUUAGAGGUUUAGGGUUUAGGGUUUUAGGGUUUAGGUUUAGGGUUUAGGUUUAGGUUAGGUUGUUAGGUUUAGGGUUUAGAGAUGUUUAGGUUUGGUUAUAGGGUUUAGGGUUUAGGGUUUGGUUUAGGGUUUAGGGUUUAGGUUUAGGUUUAGGGUUAGGGUUUAGGAGGUUUAGGGUUAGAGUUUAGGGUUUAGGGGUUUAGGGUUUUAGGGUUUAGGUUUUAGGUUGUUAGGGUUUUAGGGUUUAGGUUUAGGGUUUAGGGUUUGGGUUUAGGGUUUAUGUACGGUUUUAGGGUUUUAGAGGUUUUAGAGGUUUUUAGGGUUUGGUUGGGUUUGGUUAGGUUUAGGGAGUUUAGGGUUUAGGGUUUAGGGUUUAGGUUUAGGGUUUAGGGUUUAGGGUUUAGGUUUGUUUAGUUGGUUUAGGUUUAGGGUUUAGGGUUUAGGUUAGGGGUUUUAAGGUGUUUAGGGUUUAGGGUUUAGGGUUUUAAGGGUUUAGGCGUUUAGGUUUAGGGUUUAGGGUUUAGGGUUUAGGGUUUAGGGUUUUAGGCGUUGUUAGGGUUUUAGGGUUUAGGUUUAGGAUUUAGGGUUUGGUUUAGGGUUUAGGGUUUAGGUUUAGCGUUUAGGGUUUAAGGGUUUAGUUAGGUUUGGGUUUAGGGUUUAGGUUUAGGGUUAUGGGUUUAGGGUUUAGGGUUUAGGUUUAGGGUUAGGGUUUGGUUAGGGUUUAGGGUUUAAAGGGUUUAGGUAGGGUUUAGGUUUAGGGUUAGGUGUUAGGUUUUAGGGUUUAGGGUUUGGGUUAGGGUUGGGUUUGAGGUUUAGGCGUUUAGGGUUUAGGUUUAGGUUUAGGUUUAGGGUUAGGGUUUAGGGUUUAGGGUUUGAGGUUUAGGGUUUAGUGGUUUUAGGUUUAGGGUUUAGGGUUUUAGGAGUUUUAAGGUCUUAGGGUUUUUAGGGUUUAGGUUUAGGGUGGUGGUUUAUAGGUUUUAGGGUUAGGGUUUAGGGUUUAGGAGUUUAGGUUUGAGGUUUAGGGUUUAGGGUUUAGGAUAGGGUUUAGGGUUUAGGUUUAGGUUUUAGGGUUUAGGUUAGUUUACGGGUUUAGGUUUAGGUUUAGGGUUAGAGGUAGGGUUUAGGGUUAGGGUUUAGGGUUAGGGUUUAGGGUUAGGGUUUAGGGUUCAGGGUUCAGGGUUCAGG